Molecule: ribosomal RNA, 301 nt
Filed under: uncultured bacterium
Lineage: Bacteria
Description: partial 16S ribosomal RNA
Rfam family: Bacterial small subunit ribosomal RNA
Source: RNAcentral
CAGCCGCCGCGGGAAUACGGAGGGUGCAAGCGUUAUCCGGAUUUACUGGGUUUAAAGGGUGUGUAGGCGGGUAUUUAAGUCAGUGGUGAAAUCUCCGAGCUCAACUUGGAAACUGCCAUUGAUACUAUUUAUCUUGAAUUUUGUUGAGGUAGGCGGAAUAAGUCAUGUAGCGGUGAAAUGCAUAGAUAUGACUUAGAACACCAAUUGCGAAGGCAGCUUGCUAAACAAAUAUUGACGCUGAGGCACGAAAGCGUGGGGAUCAAACAGGAUUAGAUACCCCUGUAGUCCCUGUCUCUUAUAC